This 253-nucleotide ribosomal RNA is filed under the name uncultured bacterium. RNAcentral's name for it is "partial 16S ribosomal RNA". It matches the Rfam family "Bacterial small subunit ribosomal RNA", at positions 524 to 776 of the family's 1533-position model. The record is from RNAcentral.
UACGAAGGGGGCUAGCGUUGUUCGGAAUUACUGGGCGUAAAGCGCGCGCAGGCGGUUCUUCAAGUCAGAGGUGAAAGCCCAGAGCUCAACUCUGGAAUGGCCUUUGAGACUAGAGAACUAGGGUACGGGAGAGGUGAGUGGAAUUCCGAGUGUAGAGGUGAAAUUCGUAGAUAUUCGGAAGAACACCAGUGGCGAAGGCGACAUACUGGUCCGUUACUGACGCUGAGGCUCGAAAGCGUGGGGAGCAAACAGG